GAUGAACGCUGGCGGCGUGCCUAAUACAUGCAAGUCGAGCGAACGGACGAGAAGCCUGCUUCUCUGAUGUUAGCGGCGGACGGGUGAGUAACACGUGGAUAACCUACCUAUAAGACUGGGAUAACUUCGGGAAACCGGAGCUAAUACCGGAUAAUAUUUUGAACCGCAUGGUUCAAAAGUGAAAGACGGUCUUGCUGUCACUUAUAGAUGGAUCCGCGCUGCAUUAGCUAGUUGGUAAGGUAACGGCUUACCAAGGCAACGAUGCAUAGCCGACCUGAGAGGGUGAUCGGCCACACUGGAACUGAGACACGGUCCAGACUCCUACGGGAGGCAGCAGUAGGGAAUCUUCCGCAGUGGGCGAAAGCCUGACGGAGCAACGCCGCGUGAGUGAUGAAGGUCUUCGGAUCGUAAAACUCUGUUAUUAGGGAAGAACAUAUGUGUAAGUAACUGUGCACAUCUUGACGGUACCUAAUCAGAAAGCCACGGCUAACUACGU
This 496-nucleotide ribosomal RNA is filed under the name uncultured bacterium. RNAcentral describes it as "partial 16S ribosomal RNA". It matches the Rfam family "Bacterial small subunit ribosomal RNA", at positions 28 to 506 of the family's 1533-position model. The record is from RNAcentral.